RNA transcript from Salvelinus sp. IW2-2015, 2894 nucleotides. It is a transcript of the gene named forkhead box protein J3-like, with no coding region annotated. The record is from RefSeq and is a predicted model, not a curated record. Lineage: Eukaryota; Metazoa; Chordata; Actinopteri; Salmoniformes; Salmonidae.
GUUGGUUGUCGAGAGAAAGGGAAAAGGCGGAGAAGCCGAAGAGGGACGCCACGGGCACAUCAGUGAGGGCACAACUGGUCUAAUCUAGGACAAACGCCAAGAGAAUAGGCACCUGAGGGACUUUCUUGUUGAAGAUCAGGUGGAAGAGGAGUGGGCAGUUACUUCAACACUUUCCUGGACAAAGGCAACGACCAUAUAUACCCAGGGUUUCACUCAGAGACAGCUAGACCGCUGAAGCCCUGAGCUGGGGGAGCCCUGUACUCAGCCUCCACUCACCUCACCUGGCCUGCAUUUCACCCAUCAACCCCCUUCUACCACCACAGACUCGCCGCAGGCCAGCCUGUCGUCACUAUGACGUCGGAGCUGGAGAGUAGUCUGACCUCCAUGGAUUGGCUGCCUCAACUGACCAUGCGGGCAGCCAUCCAGAAGGCUGAUGCCCAGGGGCACCACGGGGGGCCGGGCAUGGGCAAGAAGAGUGCAAUGCUGGACCCCAACACCACUCUGGACCAGGAGGAGGUCCAGCAGCACAAAGAUGGCAAGCCGCCUUACAGCUACGCCAGCCUCAUCACCUUUGCCAUCAACAGCUCGCCUAAGAAGAAGAUGACCCUGAGCGAGAUCUACCAGUGGAUCUGUGAUAACUUCCCCUACUACAGGGAGGCAGGCAGCGGCUGGAAGAACUCAAUACGGCACAAUCUGUCAUUGAACAAGUGUUUUCUCAAAGUGCCUCGCUCCAAAGACGACCCAGGAAAGGGCUCCUACUGGGCCAUCGACACCAACCCAAAGGAGGACGCCCUGCCCACACGGCCAAAGAAGAGGCCGCGGUCCGGAGAGCGAGCUUCCACACCGUACACCCUGGAGUCGGAGUCUUUGGGAAUGGACUGUAUGAUCUCUGGAAGUGCCUCUCCAACUCUGGCAAUCAACACUGUGACUAACAAGGUGGCAUUAUACAACCCAGACCAGGAUGGGAGUGACAGCCCAAGAAGCAGCCUUAACAACAGCCUGUCUGACCAGAGUCUGGCCUCCGUCAAUUUAAACAGUGUGGGCAGCGUGCACAGCUACACACCGGUGACUAACCACCCAGAGCCAGUGUCUCAGUCGAUGAGCCUCCAGCAGCCCCAGUACAACAUGCCAGAGAGGGACAAGCAGCUCCUCUUCUCCGACUUUGAAGAUCUCAGUGCCUCUUUCCGCAGCCUUUACAAGUCUGUCUUUGGGCAGUCCUUCAGCCAACAGGGUUUGAUGGGCAUGCCAACGGAAUCGUCCCAACAGACCCACACCUCCUGCUCCUAUCAGCACUCACCCAGUGGCACCAUUAGCACCCAGAACAGCCUGACAAACAACCACUCCAGCAGCGGUGGCCAGGUGCCUCUGUCCCACCCUCCCCAGCUCCCUGGCCAGAACGCCCACCCGGGCCAUGGCUCGCCCCACACACAGCACAUCUCCCAGCACGGCCCACACAACCAACAUGGCCAGCACAACCAACACGCCCAACACACCCAGCACCAGCACCCCCAUCACCCUGCGCACUCCCAGCAUGGUCCGCACCCAUCGCAGCACGCCCAGCAGCAGCACACGCCGCACCCCUCCCAACACGCACAGCACACCCAGCACCCCUCCCAGCAGCACAGCCAGCACCCCUCCCAGCAGCAGCACCAGAGCCUGGCUCACCAGCCCCAUCCUGCCCAGCAACAGAUGGCCUGCAACACGGGUCUGCCCUCUGACUGGUACCCAAAUCUGGACGCACUGAAAGAGAGCUGCCGUAUUGCCAGCAGUUAUAACUGGGCUGAUGUCGACCUCUCACCUUUUCAAGGACUGAAGGAGAGCAUGAGACUAGCAGAGCAGAACAACUGGGCCCUGGAGCCCACACAGAUCGCAGAUCUCUGCUCAUCUAUCAACCAGUUCUUCGCCCGCACCGGCGUCAUUCAGCCACAGGGGGCAGUGCAGCCCGUACCCGUAUGCCAUGGUUCCAUGCACCCCAACAAGCCCAGCCAGCACAUGGCCACAGGAAAUCUCUACAUGGACUCAAGACAGAGCAUGUCUAUGAUGGGCCCCCCAGGAUACCCCCACAUGCCCCCAAUGAGCAGCGCAGGUCCCACAAUGACAGGACACCAUGCGCAGAUGAACCAGCAGCACAUGAUCUCUCCCAGAAACUUCCAGAUGCACCGCAUGCCAGCUGAUGACAUCCAGGAUGACUUUGACUGGGACUCCAUUGUCUAAUGUUAGAUGUUCUGCCCCUAACGAGGAACGGUCAGGUGGUGCAGAGCAGGUGGAAGUAGGAGGAAGAAGCCAGGCUGAGCUGUACGCUCUAGCGAGGAGACUGACUGUUGCUGGUGGGAUACAGAACAGAAGAGCAGGUGUCGUUUUGGGAGGAUAGAGGGAGAGACUUCAGAGUGCUGCCAUUUUUACAAACAAAAUGAAACAUACAAAAUAAAGGUUACUUUGAAGACAAUCAUAUUUACUAGGACAUGUUUAAGUGGUGGCUUAUGUAAGUGGUGGCUUGUCUUGACCAGGCAAGUAGCACACGUUCAUGUCGAAACAAAUUCUCCAGUUCUCGUUCCUCAGCCAGCCCUCUCCCAUCCCCCUCCCAGACAGCAGCUUUCCAAAGUUCCCCCAGCUCCCUCCGUAACUGUUGUGAUUUGAGCGACUUGUUCCGCUUGUUAUCCUUCUCGUGUUGACUUCAGGCCUCAGCUGCCUCUUGGAUGAGUUUGUCUCUCUUUAUUCGUUUUUAUUAUUUUAUGGAAAACGCAGGCCGCCUGUGGUGCUUGUUGGUCAGCUUUGGGUGGACGAUGGAUCCCCAAUAGUGGGUUUAUUGGUAGGAAGGUUAGGCUCCCCAAUAGUGGGUUUAGUGGUAGGAAGGUUAGGCUCCCCAAUAGUGGGUUUAGUGGUAGGAAGGUUAG